RNAcentral lists this unclassified non-coding RNA (185 nucleotides) under uncultured fungus. Its description in RNAcentral is "sequence contains ITS1". Lineage: Eukaryota; Fungi. The record is from RNAcentral.
GUAUUUUGAAUUAAGUAUUCAUAAUAUUUUUCAGACAAUUUGGUUUAUAGAAAGAGUUGAUGUAUAAAGAAAUCUCAUCAAUAAAGAUGAAAAUUCUUAACAUUGCACACAAGGUGGAUAUGGAUUUUAAAAAGUGCCAUAAACACUUAUUAUGAAUGAUCCUUCCGCAGGUUCACCUACGGAAA